This 294-nucleotide unclassified non-coding RNA is filed under the name Hevea brasiliensis (rubber tree). Lineage: Eukaryota; Viridiplantae; Streptophyta; Magnoliopsida; Malpighiales; Euphorbiaceae. The record is from RNAcentral.
UGUGUGCGACCAUGAAUCGGUAAACUCUGAGGAAUUAGCGAAUGGAUAUGGACUAGCUGUCCCAGAAGUGAUAAAUGGUCUCCCAUACGUAUAUUCGGACUUCUCAUGAUUUACGUGGAAGGUUUCUGGACCAUGCCCCACUCUCUCUUUCCAUUGGUCAUCCUUGAAAUACUGAGGUGAUUGAACCCCGGGACGUUGAAAGGCUUUAUCAAGCAUUACUUGUGCCAGUUGGCGUGGUGUAGGGAACUUGUUGUGUGAAAAACUAUGAGGUACUGGAGUCAACACGUUACAGCA